Molecule: long non-coding RNA, 2606 nt
Organism: Mobula hypostoma (lesser devil ray)
Lineage: Eukaryota; Metazoa; Chordata; Chondrichthyes; Myliobatiformes; Myliobatidae
Exons: 3
Source: RefSeq, a predicted model, not a curated record
CCGGUUCGGAGAAGGUGAGAAGGUGGGUGCCAUGCGUGCAGCGGGAUCAUGAAGAGCUCUGUGUCUACCCAGAAAGAAAUGUUAUAGAAGCAACGCCUUUAUUGUACUCAUCCUGGCCUUAAAAAUUACCCUGGUGGGACUGCAGGUUUCUGGAAAGCAAAUGCUUUGAGGAGAAAGGUGUUUCAAGGCUUUGAAUUUUUGUAACGGCCAUUGUGUCCAGCGCAUUGAAGAACAGUUCAACAACAGAAUCUAUAGAAGAGUUUGUUGCAACAAAGAAAAAAUGAAUCACUGGUCCAACAUAUAUUUGCGGCGAUUUGGAAGUUCUAGGAUAGCACUUCAGUUGUCAUUCGAUACAUCCAGUAUCUUUUAAAAUUAGCUGAUAAACAAGAUAUGGAGUAGCAUUAUAAAUGUUACUUAGUUGUAUCGAUGAGGCAAGACAAUUGUAACCCUAACCCUAAACCUAGCAUUUUCAUUUUUUCUCCUUUUGUAAGUUCUUCAAAAAACAACUGCAAACAAACUUUUGGUCAUCUCUGGUUUCUUCUUAUCAUCUGCUUACUUAGUUUUAGUUUGCUGAAUGAACUUUACAAGCUAUUUUUAUUCAAAUAUUCAAUAAAAAUUUGUUGCCUCAAAAUCAGGCUUCAUGUAAGGUCUAAUCAAUAUUACCCAGAAUUGAUAACUUGUGGAUUUUAUCUCUUGAUCUCAACCUGGGUGAUUACCUCACGGUUCAUUAAGGAAGACAACUGACUAAGAAACCUCUGGUUUGUGUGGUGUGAAUUUGAACCACUCCAGUGUCGGUCCACUAGAUCAAGUAAAUUCUGCAAGUGGGGGGAAAUGUUUGCAGAGCUGCCAGAUCUGAGCCCCAAUGGAAUUCGAGGAUGAUAAUCACCACAUUGAUCUACUUCAAGCAAUUUAUCCAAAGUUGCCUGCUGGUAAAAGGAGAAAUAUAGUUACAAUGUGUUUGUAUGUGCAAAAGAUUCAGAGUUCCUUUAAAAAUCACCAUUUUUAAUUUAUGUUAGAUCAUUUGGACACUUUUUUGCAAAAGUGAGGAAUAACCACAGCUGAUAAACCUGUCAACUGAUGGAAAUUACCCAUUCAAAUCAAAAUAAUAACACUGCGAGUGGUUUUCACAAAAUAGAUCAAGUAUACUUAGUUUGCCAGAUACUUCCAAAUAAUAUCAGUUUUGAAACAUGGCAAAUUUUAAUUUGUAUGACGACUGUGAAGUAACAAUAUCAAAUAUUCACUUUGUUCCCAUGAACUCAUGCACAGUAAGAUAUUUUAAAAGGGGGCAAAUCUAGCACAAUAUGGACUCUUGGGAUUUAUGUCAACAGGUCAAACAUUGUUUAACUCCUGAACCAAUCACUCUGAAGAAAUAGUUAAAUAAACAUCUCAGGAAGAGUAAGUCAGAAUAGUGAAGUCAUUGCAAAAUCAAGUACAGAAUGGAUUCAGAAAAGGAAAUGAAAUACAUUUUCAGUUGAUUUUUAAAAUUCUCCAAAAUGAUGAAGAAAAGAAUUUCUCCAUGAACUGUUAAAUUUUAAGCAAGAGGCAGUCUGUUUGACAAUAUACUGUCACACAGCCACACAGCAUGGAAAUAAGCCCCUUCACUCAUCAUGUCUAUGCCAGUCAUUACUUUCCCAUCUUUACUAAACCCAUUUCCUAGCAUCCAGCCGUACCAUUCAGUGCCCUUUGAUGGCUCAAGUGCCUAUCAAAAUACCUCUUAUACGCUGUGAUUGUACUUGCCUCUAUCAUCCUCUCAGGUGGUGUGUUCCAGAUUUCGGGUAAAAGUUCUUCCUCAAACCUGUUAUCCUUGUUCUUAAAUCAAUGCCCUCACACCUCUCCAAAGAUUAAAAGUUCUUCAUACGAGCUAUAGUCUUUUAAUUUUGCAUACGCUUACCAGCAACCUACUCCUUCAGCCCAGCCCUUGCCCUCUUAAGAAAGCAAACCUAGCCUAUUUUGUUUGACAAUAUCCCAAUGGAUUUCCUUUGCACCUUUUCCAGUACAAUCACAUCCUUCCUUAGUUGUGGGAAUCAGACCCAUGUACAGUAAUCCAGUAAAGCUUCACACAGAGGUUCCACAUGUUGCAAAUCAAUUUAACUGACUUCAGACACGAGCCUUCAGAUUUGAAUAUAAAUUAAGAAUUAAGUCUAAAAUGCAGCUCUGAACAAUGGGUUCCUAAGAAUUGUGAACCAAGUUAAUUGGAAGAACAGACAUGCUAAUUUAAAUUUGUGGCUGAUGUGCAUUUGGGUGUGUGUAAUACAGUUGUGAGCAGGGAGUAUGUUGGUGGGAAGAUCCAGGCAUUUGAAACUCUUAAAUGUAGUUCAAAGGAAGCAUUGUAAAUAUCGAUUUGUUAGAAUUGUCCUGAAAUUUCUUUGAUGUUUAGCACAUAAAAUGUUGUGUAUUACUGGGUCAAGCAUAUCUCUUGCUCCGAAAGGGUCUCUCUCCUUCUCUCUUGUGACUCCAAAGGCUGUUAGCUUAUUUGUGAUAUUUUGUCAAAUAAAGCGACUGCUUCAUACCGACCAGUACUUCCCUCUGGUGACUUAAUUCACGCAAAAACAUUUGGUGUCAGGAGAGGGAUUCCUUCUUGCGACUCAUCGUGUGGACCAGCAAUC